ACCAGGUUCAAGCGGAAGAAGAAAAUCUGGAUCAGCUGCGCUUUGGCAAACGCCAAAACGAGGAUGCCUGGCAGGACAGAAGUUUCCGGCGUUUGGACCGGAGGUGUAGAGGCGACAGCAUUUGGACCCAGGGUUCAACCAGUCUAUGAAGUCAUCCACCCACGAGUUGGCGGGAAUAGCUAUGUAGGAUCUGCGGUGAACGGACAGAGGUGAAAGGUCGAACUCAAAAAGACUAAAUAAAACAGUCAAGUUUCGAAAAAUAGCCGUGCCGACUGACGGAGAUGAUCUCCACGCUUACCGGCACCCCUGGUCAAGGUGGUCGUGGACGAAGCGGCUCCAACUGACCUUUGGCAUCGCCAGCUCCUGGUCCAGACCCACUUUCACGUUCAGCAUGAGGAA
Molecule: non-coding RNA, 399 nt
Organism: Poecilia reticulata (guppy)
Lineage: Eukaryota; Metazoa; Chordata; Actinopteri; Cyprinodontiformes; Poeciliidae
Source: RefSeq, a predicted model, not a curated record